UUGCAAAGCGUCAAGAACGGUGUGCCU
Molecule: non-coding RNA, 27 nt
Filed under: Mus musculus (house mouse)
Lineage: Eukaryota; Metazoa; Chordata; Mammalia; Rodentia; Muridae
Source: RNAcentral